AACGAACGCUGGCGGCAUGCCUAACACAUGCAAGUCGAACGAGACCUUCGGGUCUAGUGGCGCACGGGUGCGUAACGCGUGGGAAUCUACCCUCAGGUUCGGAAUAACUCAGAGAAAUUUUAGCUAAUACCGGAUGAUGACGUAAGUCCAAAGAUUUAUCGCCUGAGGAUGAGCCCGCGUAGGAUUAGGUAGUUGGUGAGGUAAAGGCUCACCAAGCCGACGAUCCUUAGCUGGUCUGAGAGGAUGAUCAGCCACACUGGGACUGAGACACGGCCCAGACUCCUACGGGAGGCAGCAGUGGGGAAUAUUGGACAAUGGGCGAAAGCCUGAUCCAGCAAUGCCGCGUGAGUGAUGAAGGCCUUAGGGUUGUAAAGCUCUUUUACCCGGGAUGAUAAUGACAGUACCGGGAGAAUAAGCUCCGGCUAACUCCGUG
RNAcentral lists this ribosomal RNA (433 nucleotides) under uncultured bacterium. RNAcentral's name for it is "partial 16S ribosomal RNA". It matches the Rfam family "Bacterial small subunit ribosomal RNA", at positions 29 to 507 of the family's 1533-position model. The record is from RNAcentral.